GAUGAACGCUGGCGGCGUGCCUAAUGCAUGCAAGUCGAGCGAACAGAUGAGGAGCUUGCUCCUCUGACGUUAGCGGCGGACGGGUGAGUAACACGUGGAUAACCUACCUAUAAGACUGGGAUAACUUCGGGAAACCGGAGCUAAUACCGGAUAAUAUAUUGAACCGCAUGGUUCAAUAGUGAAAGACGGUUUUGCUGUCACUUAUAGAUGGAUCCGCGCCGCAUUAGCUAGUUGGUACGGUAACGGCUUACCAAGGCAACGAUGCGUAGCCGACCUGAGAGGGUGAUCGGCCACACUGGGACUGAGACACGGUCCAGACUCCUACGGGAGGCAGCAGUAGGGAAUCUUCCGCAAUGGGCGAAAGCCUGACGGAGCAACGCCGCGUGAGGGAAGAAGGUCUUCGGAUCGUAAAACUCUGUUGUUAGGGAAGAACAAAUGUGUAAGUAACUAUGCACGGCUUGACGGUACCGAAUCAGAAAGCCACGGCUAACUACGUG
Molecule: ribosomal RNA, 497 nt
Filed under: uncultured bacterium
Lineage: Bacteria
Description: partial 16S ribosomal RNA
Rfam family: Bacterial small subunit ribosomal RNA
Source: RNAcentral